RNAcentral lists this ribosomal RNA (463 nucleotides) under uncultured bacterium. Its description in RNAcentral is "partial 16S ribosomal RNA". It matches the Rfam family "Bacterial small subunit ribosomal RNA", at positions 28 to 506 of the family's 1533-position model. The record is from RNAcentral.
GACGAACGCUGGCGGCGUGCUUAACACAUGCAAGUCGAACGGUAAGGCCCCUUCGGGGGUACACGAGUGGCGAACGGGUGAGUAACACGUGGGUGAUCUGCCCUGCACUUCGGGAUAAGCCUGGGAAACUGGGUCUAAUACCGGAUAGGACCACGCUCUGCAUGGAGUGUGGUGGAAAGCUUUUGCGGUGUGGGAUGGGCCCGCGGCCUAUCAGCUUGUUGGUGGGGUGAUGGCCUACCAAGGCGACGACGGGUAGCCGGCCUGGGAGGGUGUCCGGCCACACUGGGACUGGGAUACGGCCCAGACUCCUACGGGGGGCAGCGGUGGGGAAUUUUGCACAAUGGGCGCAAGCCUGGUGCAGGGCCGCCGCGGGGGGGAUGACGGCCUUGGGGUUGUAAACCUCUUUCAGUACCGACGAAGCGCAAGUGACGGUAGGAACAAAAAAAGCACCGGCCAACUACGU